CAGUCGAACGAACUCUGGUAUUGAUUGGUGCUUGCAUCAUGAUUUACAUUUGAGUGAGUGGCGAACUGGUGAGUAACACGUGGGAAACCUGCCCAGAAGCGGGGGAUAACACCUGGAAACAGAUGCUAAUACCGCAUAACAACUUGGACCGCAUGGUCCGAGCUUGAAAGAUGGCUUCGGCUAUCACUUUUGGAUGGUCCCGCGGCGUAUUAGCUAGAUGGUGGGGUAACGGCUCACCAUGGCAAUGAUACGUAGCCGACCUGAGAGGGUAAUCGGCCACAUUGGGACUGAGACACGGCCCAAACUCCUACGGGAGGCAGCAGUAGGGAAUCUUCCACAAUGGACGAAAGUCUGAUGGAGCAACGCCGCGUGAGUGAAGAAGGGUUUCGGCUCGUAAAACUCUGUUGUUAAAGAAGAACAUAUCUGAGAGUAACUGUUCAGGUAUUGACGGUAUUUAACCAGAAAGCCACGGCUAACUACGUGCCAGCAGCCGCGGUAAUACGUAGGUGGCAAGCGUUGUCCGGAUUUAUUGGGCGUAAAGCGAGCGCAGGCGGUUUUUUAAGUCUGAUGUGAAAGCCUUCGGCUCAACCGAAGAAGUGCAUCGGAAACUGGGAAACUUGAGUGCAGAAGAGGACAGUGGAACUCCAUGUGUAGCGGUGAAAUGCGUAGAUAUAUGGAAGAACACCAGUGGCGAAGGCGGCUGUCUGGUCUGUAACUGACGCUGAGGCUCGAAAGUAUGGGUAGCAAACAGGAUUAGAUACCCUGGUAGUCCAUACCGUAAACGAUGAAUGCUAAGUGUUGGAGGGUUUCCGCCCUUCAGUGCUGCAGCUAACGCAUUAAGCAUUCCGCCUGGGGAGUACGGCCGCAAGGCUGAAACUCAAAGGAAUUGACGGGGGCCCGCACAAGCGGUGGAGCAUGUGGUUUAAUUCGAAGCUACGCGAAGAACCUUACCAGGUCUUGACAUACUAUGCAAAUCUAAGAGAUUAGACGUUCCCUUCGGGGACAUGGAUACAGGUGGUGCAUGGUUGUCGUCAGCUCGUGUCGUGAGAUGUUGGGUUAAGUCCCGCAACGAGCGCAACCCUUAUUAUCAGUUGCCAGCAUUAAGUUGGGCACUCUGGUGAGACUGCCGGUGACAAACCGGAGGAAGGUGGGGAUGACGUCAAAUCAUCAUGCCCCUUAUGACCUGGGCUACACACGUGCUACAAUGGAUGGUACAACGAGUUGCGAACUCGCGAGAGUAAGCUAAUCUCUUAAAGCCAUUCUCAGUUCGGAUUGUAGGCUGCAACUCGCCUACAUGAAGUCGGAAUCGCUAGUAAUCGCGGAUCAGCAUGCCGCGGUGAAUACGUUCCCGGGCCUUGUACACACCGCCCGUCACACCAUGAGAGUUUGUAACACCCAAAGUCGGUGGGGUAACCUUUUA
This 1420-nucleotide ribosomal RNA is filed under the name Lactiplantibacillus plantarum WCFS1. RNAcentral's name for it is "bacterial SSU rRNA". It matches the Rfam family "Bacterial small subunit ribosomal RNA". The record is from RNAcentral. Lineage: Bacteria; Bacillati; Bacillota; Bacilli; Lactobacillales; Lactobacillaceae.